Molecule: ribosomal RNA, 469 nt
Filed under: uncultured bacterium
Lineage: Bacteria
Description: bacterial SSU rRNA
Rfam family: Bacterial small subunit ribosomal RNA
Source: RNAcentral
UCAGUCGACUCCUACGGGGAGGCAGCAGUAAGGAAUAUUGGUCAAUGGAGGGAACUCUGAACCAGCCAUGCCGCGUGCAGGAAGACAGCCCUCUGGGUCGUAAACUGCUUUAUUCGGGAAUAAACCUUUCUACGUGUAGGAAGCUGAAUGUACCGAAGGAAUAAGGAUCGGCUAACUCCGUGCCAGCAGCCGCGGUAAUACGGAGGAUCCAAGCGUUAUCCGGAUUUAUUGGGUUUAAAGGGUGCGUAGGCGGCUUAUUAAGUCAGGGGUGGAAAGACGGUGGCUCAACCAUCGCAGUGCCCUUGAUACUGAUGAGCUUGAAUACACUAGAGGUAGGCGGAAUGUGACAAGUAGCGGUGAAAUGCAUAGAUAUGUCACAGAACACCGAUUGCGAAGGCGGCUUACUAUGGUGUUAUUGACGCUGAGGCACGAAAGCGUGGGGAUCAAACAGGAUUAGAUACCCUGGUAG